This is a ribosomal RNA of 630 nucleotides. It matches the Rfam family "Bacterial small subunit ribosomal RNA", at positions 239 to 871 of the family's 1533-position model.
CAUUAGUUAGUUGGUGAGGUAAUGGCCCACCAAGACUAUGAUGUUUAGCCGGGUCGAGAGACUGAACGGCCACAUUGGGACUGAGAUACGGCCCAAACUCCUACGGGAGGCAGCAGUAGGGAAUAUUCCACAAUGAGCGAAAGCUUGAUGGAGCGACACAGCGUGCACGAUGAAGGUCUUCGGAUUGUAAAGUGCUGUUAUAAGGGAAGAACACUCAGUAGAGGAAAUGCUAUUGAGCUGACGGUACCUUGUCAGAAAGCGAUGGCUAACUAUGUGCCAGCAGCCGCGGUAAUACAUAGGUCGCAAGCGUUAUCCGGAAUUAUUGGGCGUAAAGCGUUCGUAGGCUGUUUGUUAAGUCUAGAGUCAAAUCCCAGGGCUCAACCCUGGCUCGCUUUGGAUACUGGCAAACUAGAGUUAGAUAGAGGUAAGCGGAAUUCCAUGUGAAGCGGUGAAAUGCGUAGAUAUAUGGAAGAACACCAAAGGCGAAGGCAGCUUACUGGGUCUAUACUGACGCUGAGGGACGAAAGCGUGGGGAGCAAACAGGAUUAGAUACCCUGGUAGUCCACGCUGUAAACGAUGAUCAUUAGUCGGUGGAGAAUCACUGACGCAGCUAACGCAUUAAAUGAUCCG